Molecule: ribosomal RNA, 253 nt
Filed under: uncultured bacterium
Lineage: Bacteria
Description: partial 16S ribosomal RNA
Rfam family: Bacterial small subunit ribosomal RNA
Source: RNAcentral
UACGAAGGGGGCUAGCGUUGUUCGGAAUUACUGGGCGUAAAGCGCGCGCAGGCGGUCUUCCAAGUCAGUGGUGAAAGCCCGGAGCUCAACUCCGGAACUGCCAUUGAAACUGUAAGACUUGAGGAUGAGAGAGGUGAGUGGAAUUCCCAGUGUAGAGGUGAAAUUCGUAGAUAUUGGGAAGAACACCGGUGGCGAAGGCGGCUCACUGGCUCAUUUCUGACGCUCAGGCGCGACAACGUGGGGAUCAAACAGG